GUUUUUUGCAGAGAAAUGUGCAUUCAUAGGUGUGCAAAGCAUGCAGGUGUGUGCAGAAUGCGAAGGCAUUUUUUUUUUUUGGAAUUUUGAGAAAGUUCUUGAGGUAGUACCUAUAUCAAAUAGGCAGAAAUAUAUUCUCUUUGUAAUUGCUUCACUCUAGCUAUAUCUGAGUUUGUAUGAUUACAUCUUGGUAUAAGCAACAUUCACAGAGCCUACUUUGCUUUUUAGUACACAAGCAACCUGGGUGCAAUUUUGGGGCGCAAGCUUGUCUUUAGGGUCCUGGGUGAUCAUACAACCUGUCAAGCAUUUCUUAGCCUAAUUGCUUGUUUGGUAGAUGAGGCUCAUGUAGGUAGUAUAAAGGUAAAUCAUAGAUCUGAAUAAGAGUGAAUCUGUGCUUAUUAAUUCUUGAGAAAAGAUAUUCUCCUCUUCCUCAUCCCACUUGCUUAGAUGCCCACAUGGAGAUAAGCAAGAUGUUGUGGUUUAGAUCUAGAAUGUUCUCCUGAAGCCUGGUGUGUUCAGAGAUGGGGUUUGUAGAAGGUGAUUGGAUCCUAGGGCACUAUACCCAUCAACAGACUCAUCCAUUCGUUAGUUCAGUAGCUGAAUCUGCUGUUAGAAGGUGAGGCCUGGUUCUAGGUGGGUCACUGGGUGCAUGACCUGGGAGGGCACACUCUUGUCCCUCAUUCUUGCCUUCUCUCUCUGCUUCCUGAAAGCCGUGAUAUGAUCAGCUUCCCUCCACGUCAGGUCUGCCACCAUAUUGUUUCUGUGUUUGAGCCUGCAGGCCAUGAACUGAAACUUCUGAAACUGUGAGCCCAAACAGACUUUUCCUCCAUUCAGUUGUGCCUGUUGGGUAUUUUGCCCCAACGAUGGGAAAGUAACAGAGAUACAAGCAUUCCUGUUGCCUCUUCAUGCUGUACUACAGUCUUAUGUGAGCUUGCUUCUCCAGAGGAAGCAGAGAUUGAAAUGUCACACCAGCAUGAUCAAUUAGAUAAUGCAGAACAGAGAGGCAUUUGCUACCUGACAUUAAUACAUAGGAUAAGAAUGACUGAAUGGAGACAAUGGAAUAAAAGAUGCAAAGGUAAAAGAAAUCAGCAGAGCACAGUUUAAAAGCUGUAUUAAUGUUGACUCAUCAAAAAAAAUCCUCAGGCCAGACAAAUGCUUAAUGUGGUGUACACUGGUUCACUUGCUUGUUCAAUUCUGAGACACUAACAAAUAAACACAUGUAACAGAAACAUGAUAGAAGAGGAAGAUGUUAAGUUUUAAAAAAAUUUUAGAUUUUGUCUUGGUUAACAAAAGUGACAAUGAGAAAGACAGAUGCAAACUGUAUGCAGGCUGUAGGAUGUCCUAUGAAGAAGACAGUAGAUAAUAAAUGGGG
Molecule: long non-coding RNA, 1372 nt
Filed under: Fukomys damarensis (Damara mole-rat)
Lineage: Eukaryota; Metazoa; Chordata; Mammalia; Rodentia; Bathyergidae
Description: lncRNA (ENSFDAG00000027744.1)
Source: RNAcentral